This 1479-nucleotide long non-coding RNA is filed under the name Prunus persica (peach). RNAcentral's name for it is "long non-coding RNA (PPER_LNC002069)". Lineage: Eukaryota; Viridiplantae; Streptophyta; Magnoliopsida; Rosales; Rosaceae. The record is from RNAcentral.
AUCUACACAAACCCGGGAAGUUCUCACACCCCUCUCUCUCUCUUUAAAUGAAUUUGCAUGACUUAUGUUUCUUUGUUUUUAACAUUGAGGACAAUGUUUGUUUUAAGUUGUGGGUGAUUGAGUUCUUUGGUUUCAUAAUGUAUGCUGCAGCAGUCCUCUGUAUUUGUUUCAAAUUAUGUCCUUUUCUGCUGCUGCUUUUGUAUUUUGGCCCACGUUGCGUUCUUUGUUUUUUCGAUCUGAAUCCAACCAUAUGAAGAACGUGAACUUUGGCCAAGUAUUUUGUGAGAUACAUGUCAUUCUUUGCACCUGGGUCAAAACUGCAGCAUUGUUUAUUGAUUUUCAAUCCCUCUUCAACUUUUGGUUUUUAUUUAAUUAGUUUUUAUUCUAUUGUUUUGUUUUGUUUUCAGUUUUUUUUUCUUUUAAAAAAAUAAAAAAAUAAAAAAUCAGAAAAAUGUCAUAAAAACCUAAAAAUAUUUUCUUUAACUUUGAGUCUAGUUUUUUUUUUUUUUUUUUUUUUUUUUUUUUUUUUUGUAGUAGUCACUUCCCAAUUCUAUGAUGAGAUUGAAUUUUAUUGACAAUUAACUUGCAAGGAAUUGUGAGCAUGAUAUUAAUUCUUUACAUUAUCCUUGUGUUAACCUUAGUUUUGUGAUUAAACUUGGUAAAUAUUUUUGCACAUAGCCAUAUUAAUAUGAGUUUUGAUUGGAGUUCACAUGAUUUAAAUUCCCAAAUAAGGCUAGUGUAGACUUGUACAACCCUUAUUAUGUGAGCUUUUGAGCCUAUACCUUUCUUCCCUGAGUGUUAUAUACUAUUCUAUAAUUUUCAUGUCUACAAGUCGUUGUGAUCUCAUUAUUCUUUGUUUUGGUCAAGUACUUGAGGAUGUUUAAAUUGUUUGCUAGAACUACUUUCAUUAUCUAUUUGAGGCAUAUUUCAUGAACCACAUGGAUCCUAGGAAGUGAUAUAGGCCUUGUUUCAUUCGUUUGAGCCUUUCCAGCCAACCCAUAUCAAUUUUAUCCGUAGUCAACCCCUUGUGCCUUUUAUGUAAGCCUUUAUCAUUCUUUACCCAAUUCUCUUCACCUGAACCUUUUGCAUAUUUAUCCUACACCCUUCUAAGGAGUUUUGUAGAGCACUUUCAUGGUUAAGGGAGAAUUGCACAAAUUGUUCAAUCAUGUGUAUAUGAUACUGUUUCAAAAAAAAAAAAAAAGAAAAAAAAAAGUCUGAUUCCGAAGCCUUUUCAACUCGAGUUUUUAAGCCCGAGGAGUGUUUUACACUUAAUACCCUAAAGCUAUCUAGCUUGGGAGUUAUUGGCCUAACACUUAUUACAUGGGUUGAUUAGAAAGCUAAUGGAGUUAAAAAAAAAAAAAUAAAUAAAGAUAGUAUCAAGAUAAAAUUGUGUGCUAAAGUGCAAGAUGUUAUAAUUUCAUGGAAAGCUUUACUUAGCCCUUAGACUUCGUUUGUUCAUCUAUGUCUCUUUCUUGUUUC